CAGACAACUCAUCUCUGCUGCCUCUCUACCGCGCAUCGAUGUCGCUGACGGACAUAGAGGAGGCCGAGACAGUGGAGCUGCUCUCCGAGGACAGCUGCUCAACUAUGUCUGCCUCUUCUCAGGAUGUCGGGGCCACCACGGCCGAUACGUCUCUGCCGCUGACCGCUAACGCAAAUGAGGAACAACUGCGCCGCCGCACGCUGCACGAGUGUGCCUGUAUUCCAGAGCUUGGGCCACAGACCGCGUGGCUCGAGGAGAGCGGCGCCGCAGGCAACGGACCGUCUGCAUCGACAACGGAGAUGAACUGGGAUGUCGCGCACGCUGACCACAUCAUUGUUGCUGUGCGGUGGCGGGUGGCGCUGACUUCACCUGGCACAGGAAGCCCCUCACUUCACACAACCCCGUGGGUGCCGUAUGCGGUGCCCCUCGCCAAGAUGAUCGCCUCCAGGACAACGGCCGCGGCGGACACAGCGAGCACUGUCACGAGCACUGCCAGCAGCAGCGGCGGUGGCAGCAGCGCGAUACUGCAGCCCCUCGGCUCCGUGCAGCUGCCCCUAGGACGCUCGAUGUUCCUCCUCGCUGCGCAGCUUUCCUCUCUCGUUCCAUGCGUGUGGGACAGCGGCGUUGCAGCGGAGAGCCUUGUCAGCGUGGCUGCCUCCAUCUCACGAGCGCAGUGUACACUGCACCUCCACUACGCGGCAGCAAAGACACCGCAGGCGCCAUCCUCGCUGCGAGCCCGUCCCGUGUGUCGCUCCUUCGAUGUGUUUGCGAUUUCCCCAACGACGGCGCUCCUCGGUGUCGCCUUGCAGCCUCACCAGCGCUACCACAUCAAGCGGAAGCGCGGUACCGGCAAGUCCGCCCACACCUCGGAGGAUCAACCGUGCGAUGCGAAAGGCGUCCUCACCUUGCGAGUGGGACCAUACUGCCACGUGGAUGUGGCGCUGGACGGGUUGCCUUCUGAGCCUCAUGUCAGCGGCAGUGCCGGCACGUGCCCCUCCAUCACUAUCAACACAUACAAUGGUCGUCAUGCGCACGCCACGCGGAGUGGUCAGACGCAAGACAGCCCGGCAGUGCACCGGACGUCGGCAUGUCGGAGUGGCGUUGCACGCGAACACCCCGCGGCGGUGACGCAGCUGCAGCGCGGCUCGACGACAUCUCUCAUCACCGGCGACAGCACCGCCGUCUUGGCGACGAUGUCUGACAUGUCGGACCACGUCGCGCUGAGCGAGGCCAGUGGGCAUGAGCACGACGGCCCUGUCGUCGCCGGGAGCCAGGAGGUGGCCGCCGCGCCGUCGCGCACGACCAUCACAGGGUCCCUCAAGCGGCAGCGGUCAACUGCGGCUCGAGGACGCGCUGCUGAAGCGGUGGUCCGGCAAGUCGACAACGCGAAAGCUGUGGAGGGAGGCGAUGAUGACGAGGCAGACGCAGCCGCGUCGCACUCCGUCGCCACGACGCCCAGCGCGAUCGUUCUCUUCACGACAGGGAUGCGGCUCAGCGAUGUGGAGGAGAAGACGUUGAAGGAGCUCGGUGCCCUCGUGAACCCGCAUCUGCGCCUGGCACGCUACGCCCGCGUCCUUGUAGCGCAGCGGCCGCUCGCGCGCAGUGUGAAGCUGCUCACCGUCCUGCCCUACGUCCAAGAUGUGGUGCAUCAGAGCUGGCUCGACGCGGUGCUGCGCACCCGCACCCUCGACCUCCCGCUGGAGGGAUUCGCCUACAAGGAGCGGAAGAUUGCCGGCAGCAUCGAGAGCGAGAACAGCUUCGACCUGCGUGAAACAAUGAGCAAGGCCCCGACGGAGCGCCAGCGGCUCUUCGCGCAGCAGCGCUUCUGGGUGCACAAGUCCGCGGCCCCGCAGGAGCCGCCGAUGAACGAUCUGAAGACGGUGGUGGCGGCCUCGGGCGGCAUCAUCACGCGGUGCGUUCUCGACGCAGACGUUCUCGUCCUGCCCAAGCACAAGCCCACCCUAUCGUGUUGGCGUGGUAUUGCGCAGCAGCUCGGCGGAACCGGCGGGGCGUCGGCCUCGUCCGCGUCCGCGGCCCCGACGCUCGCACAGCGCAAGCAAGCCGGCGUCUUGUUUGUGGUGCCAGACGACAUCUUCAAGUGUGUGCUGCAGCAGCGCCGUCUCUCCGCCUCCUCCAUCACUCUUCCACGUCAGCUCCUGACGGAGGCCGCCGCCACUAGAGGCACAACCGGCGCGGCCAGAGUUGGCCGACGCCCCUCUCAGCCAACACGGAAGACGCCGCGCGCCUCCACGACGCAGCGGUCUCCACAUCGUAAAUCGUGCAAGCGCUCGCAGUAGUGGUCGGGUCCCACGAGGCUGGUAUCAGAGCAUGCGUAUAGGUAUGAGUUCGUGCAUAG
RNAcentral lists this unclassified non-coding RNA (2356 nucleotides) under Leishmania donovani. RNAcentral describes it as "gene:LdHU3.06.1330(CDS-product:hypothetical_prote in_conserved)". Lineage: Eukaryota; Euglenozoa; Kinetoplastea; Trypanosomatida; Trypanosomatidae. The record is from RNAcentral.